Molecule: ribosomal RNA, 508 nt
Filed under: uncultured bacterium
Lineage: Bacteria
Description: partial 16S ribosomal RNA
Rfam family: Bacterial small subunit ribosomal RNA
Source: RNAcentral
GACGAACGCUGGCGGCGUGCCUAAUACAUGCAAGUCGAACGCUUCUUUCCUCCCGAGUGCUUGCACUCAAUUGGAAAGAGGAGUGGCGGACGGGUGAGUAACACGUGGGUAACCUACCCAUCAGAGGGGGAUAACACUUGGAAACAGGUGCUAAUACCGCAUAACAGUUUAUGCCGCAUGGCAUAAGAGUGAAAGGCGCUUUCGGGUGUCGUUGAUGGAUGGACCCGCGGUGCAUUAGCUAGUUGGUGAGGUAACGGCUCACAAAGGCCACGAUGCAUAGCCGACCUGAGAGGGUGAUCGGCCACACUGGGACUGAGACACGGCCCAGACUCCUACGGGAGGCAGCAGUAGGGAAUCUUCGGCAAUGGACGAAAGUCUGACCGAGCAACGCCGCGUGAGUGAAGAAGGUUUUCGGGUCGUAAAACUCUGUUGUUAGAGAAGAACAAGGACGUUAGUAACUGAACGUCCCCUGACGGUAUCUAACCAGAAAGCCACGGCUAACUACGUG